RNAcentral lists this ribosomal RNA (329 nucleotides) under uncultured Butyrivibrio sp. RNAcentral describes it as "bacterial SSU rRNA". It matches the Rfam family "Bacterial small subunit ribosomal RNA", at positions 28 to 339 of the family's 1533-position model. Lineage: Bacteria; Bacillati; Bacillota; Clostridia; Lachnospirales; Lachnospiraceae. The record is from RNAcentral.
GAUGAACGCUGGCGGCGUGCCUAACACAUGCAAGUCGAACGGAGAUACGUGGAAUGCGGACUUGUCCAAAUGAAACGUAUACUUAGUGGCGGACGGGUGAGUAACGCGUGGAUAACCUGCCUUUUUCUGGGGGAUAGCAGUUGGAAACGACUGGUAAUACCGCAUGAGCUUCCUUAAAGGCAUCUUUGAGGGAGGAAAGAUUUAUCGGGAAAAGAUGGAUCCGCGUCUGAUUAGCCAGUUGGCGGGGUAACGGCCCACCAAAGCAACGAUCAGUAGCCGGCCUGAGAGGGUGAACGGCCACAUUGGGACUGAGACACGGCCCAGACUCC